UACGUAGGGCGCAAGCGUUGUCCGGAAUUAUUGGGCGUAAAGAGCUCGUAGGUGGUUUGUUACGUCUGCUGUGAAACCUAGGGCUUAACCCUGGGCCUGCAGUGGAUACGGGCAGACUAGAGGUAGGUAGGGGAGAAUGGAAUUCCCGGUGUGAGCGGUGAAAUGCGCAGAUAUCGGGAGGAACACCGGUGGCGAAGGCGGUUCUCUGGGCCUUACCUGACACUGAGGAGCGAAAGCGUGGGAGCAAACAGG
This 252-nucleotide ribosomal RNA is filed under the name uncultured bacterium. RNAcentral's name for it is "partial 16S ribosomal RNA". It matches the Rfam family "Bacterial small subunit ribosomal RNA", at positions 524 to 776 of the family's 1533-position model. The record is from RNAcentral.